Molecule: ribosomal RNA, 500 nt
Filed under: uncultured Halorhabdus sp.
Lineage: Archaea; Methanobacteriati; Methanobacteriota; Halobacteria; Halobacteriales; Haloarculaceae
Description: bacterial SSU rRNA
Rfam family: Archaeal small subunit ribosomal RNA
Source: RNAcentral
UUCCGGUUGAUCCUGCCGGAGGCCAUUGCUAUCGGGGUCCGAUUUAGCCAUGCUAGUCGCACGGGUUAGACCCGUGGCAGAUAGCUCAGUAACACGUGGCCAAACUGCCCUGUGGACGGGGAUAUUCUCGGGAAACUGAGGCUAAUCCCCGAUACGGCUUCCAGCCUGGAACUGGCGGAAGCCGGAAACGCUCCGGCGCCACAGGAUGUGGCUGCGGCCGAUUAGGUAGACGGUGGGGUAACGGCCCACCGUGCCGAUAAUCGGUACGGGGCAUGAGAGUGCGAGCCCGGAGACGGGAUCUGAGACAAGAUCCCGGGCCCUACGGGGCGCAGCAGGCGCGAAACCUUUACACUGCACGCCAGUGCGAUAAGGGGACUCCGAGUGCGAGGGCAUACAGUCCUCGCUUUUCUGCACCGUAAGGUGGUGCAGGAACAAGUGCUGGGCAAGACCGGUGCCAGCCGCCGCGGUAAUACCGGCUGCACGAGUGAUGGCCGAUAUUA